RNAcentral lists this ribosomal RNA (253 nucleotides) under uncultured bacterium. RNAcentral describes it as "partial 16S ribosomal RNA". It matches the Rfam family "Bacterial small subunit ribosomal RNA", at positions 524 to 776 of the family's 1533-position model. The record is from RNAcentral.
UACGUAGGGUGCAAGCGUUAAUCGGAAUUACUGGGCGUAAAGCGUGCGCAGGCGGUUAUGUAAGACAGUUGUGAAAUCCCCGGGCUCAACCUGGGAACUGCAUCUGUGACUGCAUAGCUAGAGUACGGUAGAGGGGGAUGGAAUUCCGCGUGUAGCAGUGAAAUGCGUAAAUAUGCGGAGGAACACCGAUGGCGAAGGCAAUCCCCUGGACCUGUACUGACGCUCAUGCACGAAAGCGUGGGGAGCAAACAGG